AUAUUUAUUGUUGUUAAUGUUGAACGAAUUGUGACAUUUUGCCAAUGAUAUAUACGUAUUUGUCUAGAUAAUUUAUUUGUUAAUGAAAUAAAUUUUUAGUUAAGUAUUUAAUUAUUUUUAAAAAAAAUUCAGAAUAACCGAAAUAACUAUUCAAUUCUUUCGAUUAAUUCGAUUCGGUAAUCAAAAUAACUGUUUUAUUAGAAUUAGAACUCCCC
RNAcentral lists this long non-coding RNA (215 nucleotides) under Salvia miltiorrhiza (redroot sage). Its description in RNAcentral is "long non-coding RNA (SMIL_LNC003164)". Lineage: Eukaryota; Viridiplantae; Streptophyta; Magnoliopsida; Lamiales; Lamiaceae. The record is from RNAcentral.